RNAcentral lists this ribosomal RNA (674 nucleotides) under Xanthomonas vesicatoria. Its description in RNAcentral is "bacterial SSU rRNA". It matches the Rfam family "Bacterial small subunit ribosomal RNA", at positions 107 to 777 of the family's 1533-position model. Lineage: Bacteria; Pseudomonadati; Pseudomonadota; Gammaproteobacteria; Lysobacterales; Lysobacteraceae. The record is from RNAcentral.
UGAGGAAUACAUCGGAAUCUACUUUUUCGUGGGGGAUAACGUAGGGAAACUUACGCUAAUACCGCAUACGACCUUCGGGUGAAAGCAGGGGACCUUCGGGCCUUGCGCGAUUGAAUGAGCCGAUGUCGGAUUAGCUAGUUGGCGGGGUAAAGGCCCACCAAGGCGACGAUCCGUAGCUGGUCUGAGAGGAUGAUCAGCCACACUGGAACUGAGACACGGUCCAGACUCCUACGGGAGGCAGCAGUGGGGAAUAUUGGACAAUGGGCGCAAGCCUGAUCCAGCCAUACCGCGUGGGUGAAGAAGGCCUUCGGGUUGUAAAGCCCUUUUGUUGGGAAAGAAAAGCAGCAGGCUAAUACCCCGCUGUUCUGACGGUACCCAAAGAAUAAGCACCGGCUAACUUCGUGCCAGCAGCCGCGGUAAUACGAAGGGUGCAAGCGUUACUCGGAAUUACUGGGCGUAAAGCGUGCGUAGGUGGUUGUUUAAGUCUGUUGUGAAAGCCCUGGGCUCAACCUGGGAACUGCAGUGGAAACUGGAUGACUAGAGUGUGGUAGAGGGUAGCGGAAUUCCCGGUGUAGCAGUGAAAUGCGUAGAGAUCGGGAGGAACAUCCAUGGCGAAGGCAGCUACCUGGACCAACACUGACACUGAGGCACGAAAGCGUGGGGAGCAAACAGGA